This 23-nucleotide microRNA is filed under the name Macaca mulatta (Rhesus monkey). RNAcentral describes it as "Mml-Mir-3617_3p* (star (passenger))". Lineage: Eukaryota; Metazoa; Chordata; Mammalia; Primates; Cercopithecidae. The record is from RNAcentral.
CAUCAGCACCCUAUGUUCUUUCU